GGAAGACUAUGCCAAUUUACUUGAUGAGAUAGAUUCAGAAGAUGAAGAUGAACUAUUAGCAAGUGGAGCUACUCAAGGAUUGGAAGAUGAUUGAUUAUUUGGUGAUGAAUGGAAUGAGUUCUAAAGCAAUGAAAGACUUCAAUUUACUUAAUGGGAAAGAUUUUGAAGGUGAAG
Molecule: long non-coding RNA, 174 nt
Organism: Dioscorea cayenensis subsp. rotundata (Guinea yam)
Lineage: Eukaryota; Viridiplantae; Streptophyta; Magnoliopsida; Dioscoreales; Dioscoreaceae
Exons: 3
Source: RefSeq, a predicted model, not a curated record